UUGGGGCCCGGGGGGGGCUUACCUAUUCAUGCAAGUCGAGCGGACAGAAGGGAGCUUGCUCCCGGAUGUUAGCGGCGGACGGGUGAGUAACACGUGGGUAACCUGCCUGUAAGACUGGGAUAACUCCGGGAAACCGGAGCUAAUACCGGAUAGUUCCUUGAACCGCAUGGUUCAAGGAUGAAAGACGGUUUCGGCUGUCACUUACAGAUGGACCCGCGGCGCAUUAGCUAGUUGGUGAGGUAACGGCUCACCAAGGCGACGAUGCGUAGCCGACCUGAGAGGGUGAUCGGCCACACUGGGACUGAGACACGGCCCAGACUCCUACGGGAGGCAGCAGUAGGGAAUCUUCCGCAAUGGACGAAAGUCUGACGGAGCAACGCCGCGUGAGUGAUGAAGGUUUUCGGAUCGUAAAGCUCUGUUGUUAGGGAAGAACAAGUGCAAGAGUAACUGCUUGCACCUUGACGGUACCUAACCAGAAAGCCACGGCUAACUACGUGCCAGCAGCCGCGGUAAUACGUAGGUGGCAAGCGUUGUCCGGAAUUAUUGGGCGUAAAGGGCUCGCAGGCGGUUUCUUAAGUCUGAUGUGAAAGCCCCCGGCUCAACCGGGGAGGGUCAUUGGAAACUGGGAAACUUGAGUGCAGAAGAGGAGAGUGGAAUUCCACGUGUAGCGGUGAAAUGCGUAGAGAUGUGGAGGAACACCAGUGGCGAAGGCGACUCUCUGGUCUGUAACUGACGCUGAGGAGCGAAAGCGUGGGGAGCGAACAGGAUUAGAUACCCUGGUAGUCCACGCCGUAAACGAUGAGUGCUAAGUGUUAGGGGGUUUCCGCCCCUUAGUGCUGCAGCUAACGCAUUAAGCACUCCGCCUGGGGAGUACGGUCGCAAGACUGAACUCAAGGGAAUUGACGGGGGCCCGCACAAGCGGUGGAGCAUGGUGGUUUAAUUCGGAAGCAACGCGGAGGACCUUACCAGUCUUGACAUCCUCUGACACCUUAGAGGAUAGGGCUUUCCUUUCGGGACAGAUUGACAGGUGGUUGCAUGGGUUUGUUCG
RNAcentral lists this ribosomal RNA (1048 nucleotides) under Bacillus pumilus. RNAcentral describes it as "bacterial SSU rRNA". It matches the Rfam family "Bacterial small subunit ribosomal RNA", at positions 30 to 1057 of the family's 1533-position model. Lineage: Bacteria; Bacillati; Bacillota; Bacilli; Caryophanales; Bacillaceae. The record is from RNAcentral.